Molecule: ribosomal RNA, 468 nt
Filed under: uncultured bacterium
Lineage: Bacteria
Description: partial 16S ribosomal RNA
Rfam family: Bacterial small subunit ribosomal RNA
Source: RNAcentral
GACGAACGCUGGCGGCGUGCUUAACACAUGCAAGUCGAACGGAAAGGCCCUGCUUUUGUGGGGUGCUCGAGUGGCGAACGGGUGAGUAACACGUAAGUAACCUGCCCUUGACUUUGGGAUAACUUCAGGAAACUGGGGCUAAUACCGGAUAGGAGCUCCUGCUGCAUGGUGGGGGUUGGAAAGUUUCGGCGGUUGGGGAUGGACUCGCGGCUUAUCAGCUUGUUGGUGGGGUAGUGGCUUACCAAGGCUUUGACGGGUAGCCGGCCUGAGAGGGUGACCGGCCACAAUGGGACUGAGAUACGGCCCAGACUCCUACGGGAGGCAGCAGUGGGGAAUAUUGCACAAUGGGCCGAAGCCUGAGGCAGCAACGCCGCGUGCGUGAUGACGGCCUUCGGGUUGUAAACCGCUUUCGCCUGUGACGAAGCGUGAGUGACGGUAAUGAGUAAAGAAGCACCGGCUAACUACGUG